GGGCCCGCACAAGCGGUGGAGUAUGUGGUUUAAUUCGAUGCAACGCGAAGAACCUUACCAGGGUUUGACAUCCUGCGAAUCUCUUGGAAACGAGAGAGUGCCUUCGGGAACGCAGUGACAGGUGGUGCAUGGCUGUCGUCAGCUCGUGUCGUGAGAUGUUGGGUUAAGUCCCGCAACGAGCGCAACCCACGUCGUUAGUUGCCAGCAUUUAGUUGGGCACUCUAGAGAGACUGCCGGUGAUAAACCGGAGGAAGGUGUGGAUGACGUCAAAUCAUCACGGCCCUUACGUCCUGGGCUACACACGUGCUACAAUGGUCGGUACAGAGAGCAGCCACUACGCGAGUAGGAGCGAA
RNAcentral lists this ribosomal RNA (353 nucleotides) under uncultured bacterium. Its description in RNAcentral is "bacterial SSU rRNA". It matches the Rfam family "Bacterial small subunit ribosomal RNA", at positions 917 to 1271 of the family's 1533-position model. The record is from RNAcentral.